GAUGAACGCUGGCGGCGUGCCUAAUACAUGCAAGUCGAGCGAACAGACGAGGAGCUUUCUCCUCUGACGUUAGCGGCGGACGGGUGAGUAACACGUGGAUAACCUACCUAUAAGACUGGGAUAACUUCGGGAAACCGGAGCUAAUACCGGAUAAUAUAUUGAACCGCAUGGUUCAAUAGUGAAAGACGGUUUUGCUGUCACUUAUAGAUGGAUCCGCGCCGCAUUAGCUAGUUGGUAAGGUAACGGCUUACCAAGGCAACGAUGCGUAGCCGACCUGAGAGGGUGAUCGGCCACACGGGAACUGAGACACGGUCCAGACUCCUACGGGAGGCAGCAGUAGGGAAUCUUCCGCAAUGGGCGAAAGCUUGACGGAGCAACGCCGAGUGAGUGAUGAAGGUCUUCGGAUCGUAAAACUCUGUUAUUAGGGAAGAACAAAUGUGUAAGUAACUAUGCACGUCUUGACGGUACCUAAUCAGAAAGCCACGGCUAACUACGUG
RNAcentral lists this ribosomal RNA (497 nucleotides) under uncultured bacterium. RNAcentral's name for it is "partial 16S ribosomal RNA". It matches the Rfam family "Bacterial small subunit ribosomal RNA", at positions 28 to 507 of the family's 1533-position model. The record is from RNAcentral.